Gopherus flavomarginatus (Mexican gopher tortoise) is the source of this 1533-nucleotide long non-coding RNA. RefSeq lists it as uncharacterized. The transcript has 2 exons. The record is from RefSeq and is a predicted model, not a curated record. NCBI's taxonomy places the organism in Eukaryota, Metazoa, Chordata, Testudines, Testudinidae.
UUUCAGUAGUAUUAUUCCCCAUAUUUCAUAAUCCGUAGCUAACACAACAGCAACUUAAAGACAGAAGUGUGUAGCCUUUACGACUAAAUAUGUUUAACCCCAUAUACAGUAGUGACCAAAUUACUAAGCUGGAAAAAAAAAACAAACACAUUUGUUACUAUUACUUUCCAUUUGCACAGUGCUUUUCAUCCUAGACUUUUACAGACUCAUUUUUGUAAAGGACUUUAUUAUCCUUAUUUUACAGCCAAGGAAACUGAGACACAAAGACUUUCAUCACUAAACCCUACUGACUUCACUAGGUCAUUUAGUGGGAAAAGAGACAACAGCACAUUUAGCUCCGACUCAGUACAACUAUUUACUGGCACGAAAGACUCUCUCUUAUCUCAGGAUUUCUGGGAUCUCUUAUAUCAUUAUGGGCAAGUCACUUAGUCUUUUUGGGACUCGGUUUCCCCAGCUGUAAAAUGGAGUUCAGACUACUGGUCUCUCAGAGAGCUGUUAUGAGAAAUACUUCAUGUUUGUAAAUCAUUUUGACUUCCUCUGAUGGAAGGCACUCUCUGGAAGUAGCAAGUUAUUAAUGUUAAGUGAAAAAAGUCACUGAUUUUUCUGUUGCACAAUUCAACACAAGGCUCUAAACAGCUUUUCAAUUUCAUGCAGAGUACAUUUCCAGUUUAGUACAUAGGAACCAUGCCCUGAGUAAUAGCUGCUGUGGACAACUCUGAUGGGCAGAGUGGACUAACUGCACCUUAGCAUCAAAGAAUCAAGAUGAGAAAAAAAAAAGGCCUGCCUUUCAUUCUCAGCGUCAGAAGGACCAGCUCUUAGUGGAAACCUCAGAUAAUAUCAAAAUGUUACUGUAGUAAGUGAAUGCUGACAAUAAGUAGGCUCAACUAUCUCUUCAGUAAGAAGCCAAAGGCCUAUUAUGUUUAAUUGCUUCCUCUGCAGCUAGCAUGAUAAUAGUACAACACUGAUGAAGGUGGCUGCAUGAAGGUGGCUGCAAGAUAAAAGUUAUACAGCAUGGUUAACAUUCUCAGCUGGACAACUUUCUGUGAAAGGGGAGCCAAUUACAGCUACUUCAUAGUGGAGCCAGGUCUACGCUAGACUUGGGGCUUUACUAAUGUGUGUUAGUUAGCCAUGAGCUCCAAGGGUGUGGGAGUGCAGCAUACCCCUUCCCUGAUAUAUCACUUAUGUUGCAGGCUACAGGAGAGUGGUGUGUAGGAGUCAGAUACACCACUUCUGCACCCUCCGAUAACUACCCCACUUCAAAGGAUCCCCCCAGCAUGGAGACUCAUCUGCUUUCUGUUCCAAGUGAAGCGGAACACAACUCAGGACUGAGUCCUAUGCCGUCUCACAACGGAGAAUACAGAAUCAUAGCCAUCCUCUCGGAUCAUUUUUGACACUUUAAUAAGAUCAUCAGGAUGUAAACAGGGAGAUGUUGCCUGAAUAUGUCCUAUAAUAUCAACCUCUAAAGAAUGAAAAAGUAAAAUAUAUAAUGAGAAACUUUGUAUGAAAUAUUUAAUAAAUAUAAAUAAUAAGAUA